UCGGUGUUGUUGGUGUCGGUGUUGUUGGUGUUGGUGUUGUUGGUUCCGGUGUUGGUGUCAGUGUUGGUGUUGGUGGUGUCGGUGUUGUUGGUGUCGGUGUUGGUGGUGUCGGUGUUGGUGGUGUCGGUGUUGUUGGUUCCGGUGUUGGUGUCAGUGUUGGUGUUGUUGGUGUUGUUGGUGCCAGUCUUGGUGGUGUUGCUGCCGGUGUUGGUGCUGUUGGUGUCGGUGUUGUUGGUGUCAGUGUUGUU
RNAcentral lists this long non-coding RNA (248 nucleotides) under Numida meleagris (helmeted guineafowl). RNAcentral describes it as "lncRNA (ENSNMEG00000000960.1)". Lineage: Eukaryota; Metazoa; Chordata; Aves; Galliformes; Numididae. The record is from RNAcentral.